RNAcentral lists this long non-coding RNA (1092 nucleotides) under Mytilus galloprovincialis (Mediterranean mussel). The record is from RNAcentral. Lineage: Eukaryota; Metazoa; Mollusca; Bivalvia; Mytilida; Mytilidae.
GUCCAAAUGAAUAUCCUAAUCCUGAAGAUGUAACGAGCAAUUUGGUAAAAUAAAUUUGUCGUAAUCUUUUACGGUUGCGAAGGAGUAGUGGCCACAAGAAAAACAGUGUUUGGGGAGAUAACUCUUACAACGUAAAGUAUUUUGUUACGCAGUUGUAAAUUUUUAAAAGCGUAUAAACUAUACGAUAUCAUAUUCCAAAUAUCUAAGCGACAUCUUUUGAAACAUCAAUACUACGCAAGAAAAAAAAUUAGGCGGAAGAAAAAAAAAAAUAAUAAUAAUUAAAAACCAAUUGUUCAGAGAACAAUUGAAGGUCUUUCCACUAGUAAAGAUCUAUUUUGAUAUUGAAAUAUGAAAAAUCAGUUUAAAAUGUUAGUUCCUAUGGCUUUAUGAUGUAUUAAUAUGAAUUUAAAGCAAAGGUCAAAAUCUAGAACGUCCUAUUAACCUAUGACCUUGACCUCAAUUUCAAGGUCACAAACCAAGGACCUUAAAUCAAAAAAGACCCUAGGUCUUUAAUAUGUUUGGUUAAUGAGUAAUAUCACUUUACGCGUAAUUCUAAAUAUAAGAUGGGCAAAAACUCCCAUUUAUUGUCUGCGCACCCUUUCAACCAAAAUAUACAAGUAAGGACAUGUCGCAACUAACAAUUUAUGAAAAAUUAUUUGUCGAAUAUGUCAUACGGUAUUUGAAAAUAAGUGAAAAUAAGCCAAAAUCAAAAUUUAGAAUAUGACCUUGACCUUUGACCUUGACCUUAUUUUCAUUUUUUUGGACCAAGGACUUCAAAUCUAAAGACCCUAGGUCUCUAUCACUUAUGGUUUACCAGUUAGAAAUGCAUAUCACUUAUAUCAAAUACAUAAGGGGGAAUAACUCUCAUAUGGAGUCUCCGGAUAGCUUCGGUCAAAUGAAAAUCCUAAUCCUGAAGAUGUAACGAGCAAUUUGGUAAAAUAAAUUUGUCGUAAUCUUUUACGGUUGCGAAGGAGUAGUGGCCACAAGAAAAACAGUGUUUGGGGAGAUAACUCUUACAACGUAAAGUAUUUUGUUACGCAGUUGUAAAUUUUUAAAGCGUAUAAACUAUACGAUAUCAUAUUCCAAAUAUCU